GACAGAGGUGCCGAGCGUUAGGCGGAAUCACUGGGCUUAAAGCGUGUGUAGGCGGGUCGUUAAGUGCCUUGUGAAAUCCCACAGCUCACCUGUGGAACUGCUUGGCAUACUGGCGAUCUUGAGCCACUUAGGGGCAACCGGAACAAACGGUGGAGCGGUGAAAUGCGUAGAUAUCGGGAGGAACAUCAGUGGCGAAGGCGGCCAUCUGGAUCAACACUGACGCUGAGGCACGAAAGCGUGGGGAGCAAACAGG
RNAcentral lists this ribosomal RNA (253 nucleotides) under uncultured bacterium. RNAcentral describes it as "partial 16S ribosomal RNA". It matches the Rfam family "Bacterial small subunit ribosomal RNA", at positions 524 to 776 of the family's 1533-position model. The record is from RNAcentral.